AUACGGAGGGUGCAAGCGUUAAUCGGAAUUACUGGGCGUAAAGCGUACGUAGGCGGUUUGGUAAGUCAGAUGUGAAAGCCCUGAGCUCAACUUGGGAACUGCAUUUGAAACUGCCUGAAUAGAGUGUGAUAGAGGAUAGUGGAAUUUCCGGUGUAGCGGUGAAAUGCGUAGAGAUCGGAAGGAACACCAGUGGCGAAGGCGGCUAUCUGGAUCAACACUGACGCUGAGGUACGAAAGCGUGGGGAGCAAACAGGAUUAGAAACCCCGGUAGUCC
Molecule: ribosomal RNA, 274 nt
Filed under: uncultured bacterium
Lineage: Bacteria
Description: partial 16S ribosomal RNA
Rfam family: Bacterial small subunit ribosomal RNA
Source: RNAcentral